AAGAAAUCCCAGCACUUAUCACGUUCGUUCCAGUCGUAGAUGGCGCCCUACAGUGACAGACAAGAAAGAAAAUUUCGAAAGGAAGGGUUUCGAAGUACGCCUCAAGUAUUUUUUGAGGUUUUAGGGUUCAAGACAAGUGAACAUGAAGAGCCAGAAAAAACAAGGUGGGAUUUCCAGUAAUAGUUUUGCUUAACUUACUCACUAUUUACCCUUUUAUUACAAAUAUUGCGAUGGUUUCUCCGGAAACCCGAAUAUGUUUGCAAUGACUUGGGUUUAUUGAGCUCGGUAUAAAAAGGCCUCGGUUGAUCGGAAUAAUACCAGAAUUAAUCAUUCGACUCUUCCCGUCCAACAUUCGAAAAAGGAAAUACGCAAAGAUUAGAUAGGAUGGUUCGUCUUGCAGUACUCAUGGUAUUUUUGGCUUUGAUUGUUUGUUCAGCUCUGGCUCAACACAACAAUUAUCAUUACAAUCCGCCAGGCCAUCACCAUCACGGUCAUCAUCAUGGACAUCAUCAUCAUCAUCAUCAUGGACAUCACCAUCAUCAUCAUGGACAUCACCACGGCUAAAUCAGCGACCAAAACGGCCAAAGUACUCCAUACCAUUACAUCUGCGCUAAGGACAAUUGAUAGUAAAGACACAAUUUUGUAUAUCAAUGUGACACUAGACCAUAUGUUUCACUGUGACACCAGACCAUAUGGUAUUUUCAUUUGCGCUUUGACCAGUUGAUAGUAAAGUCACUCAGUUGUGUUACACUGUGACACGUAGAACAAAUAAAAAACUACAUUUGGAGAAA
RNAcentral lists this long non-coding RNA (791 nucleotides) under Daphnia pulex (common water flea). RNAcentral describes it as "uncharacterized LOC124208300, transcript variant X1". Lineage: Eukaryota; Metazoa; Arthropoda; Branchiopoda; Diplostraca; Daphniidae. The record is from RNAcentral.